RNAcentral lists this ribosomal RNA (889 nucleotides) under uncultured bacterium. RNAcentral's name for it is "bacterial SSU rRNA". It matches the Rfam family "Bacterial small subunit ribosomal RNA", at positions 505 to 1397 of the family's 1533-position model. The record is from RNAcentral.
GUGCCAGCCGCCGCGGUAAUACGUAGGGGGCGAGCGUUGUCCGGAAUUACUGGGCGUAAAGAGUACGUAGGCGGUCCUGUAAGCGCAUGGUGAAAGGCAUCGGCUUAACCAGUGUCAGCCGUGCGAACUGCAGGACUUGAGUGCGGGAGAGGAAAGCGGAAUUCCUGGUGUAGCGGUGAAAUGCGUAGAGAUCAGGAGGAACACCGGUGGCGAAGGCGGCUUUCUGGACCGUAACUGACGCUGAGGUACGAAAGCGUGGGGAGCAAACAGGAUUAGAUACCCUGGUAGUCCACGCCGUAAACGAUGAGUAUUAGGUGUCGGGUCCGCAGGGAUUCGGUGCCGCAGUUAACGCAAUAAAUACUCCGCCUGGGGAGUACGCACGCAAGUGUAAAACUCAAAGGAAUUGACGGGGACCCGCACAAGCAGCGGAGCAUGUGGUUUAAUUCGAAGCAACGCGAAGAACCUUACCAGGGCUUGACAUCCUCCCGAAAGGCCGGGUAACGCCGGCCCCUCUACGGACGGGAGAGACAGGUGGUGCAUGGUUGUCGUCAGCUCGUGUCGUGAGAUGUUGGGUUAAGUCCCGCAACGAGCGCAACCCUUGUCAUCAGUUACUAACAUUAAGUUGAGGACUCUGAUGAGACUGCCGGGGAGAACUCGGAGGAAGGUGGGGAUGACGUCAAAUCAUCAUGCCCCUUAUGUUCUGGGCUACACACGUGCUACAAUGGCCGGUACAGAGAGCAGCGAGGCCGCGAGGUGGAGCAAAACUGAGAAAACCGGUCCCAGUUCGGACUGCAGGCUGAAACUCGCCUGCACGAAGUUGGAGUUGCUAGUAAUCGCGGAUCAGAAUGCCGCGGUGAAUGCGUUCCCGGGUCUUGUACACACCGCCCGU